RNAcentral lists this small nucleolar RNA (131 nucleotides) under Caenorhabditis briggsae. RNAcentral's name for it is "Cb248 H/ACA snoRNA". It matches the Rfam family "Caenorhabditis snoRNA ceN84". The record is from RNAcentral. Lineage: Eukaryota; Metazoa; Nematoda; Chromadorea; Rhabditida; Rhabditidae.
UAUGCCACAGUGUCUGGGCAAAGUAGGCUGUUUUUAAUAGUACUAACUUAAUCCACUGAUGGCUAUAGGAAAGCAUUGUGUAAUCCCCGAACACCUCUGUGGUGUAUUGGAUUCAUGACAUUGCGACAAUU